This 867-nucleotide ribosomal RNA is filed under the name Bacillus sp. (in: firmicutes). RNAcentral describes it as "bacterial SSU rRNA". It matches the Rfam family "Bacterial small subunit ribosomal RNA", at positions 20 to 870 of the family's 1533-position model. Lineage: Bacteria; Bacillati; Bacillota; Bacilli; Caryophanales; Bacillaceae. The record is from RNAcentral.
UGGCUCAGGACGAACGCUGGCGGCGUGCCUAAUACAUGCAAGUCGAGCGAACAGAAGGGAGCUUGCUCCCGGAUGUUAGCGGCGGACGGGUGAGUAACACGUGGGUAACCUGCCUGUAAGACUGGGAUAACUCCGGGAAACCGGAGCUAAUACCGGAUAGUUCCUUGAACCGCAUGGUUCAAGGAUGAAAGACGGUUUCGGCUGUCACUUACAGAUGGACCCGCGGCGCAUUAGCUAGUUGGUGGGGUAAUGGCUCACCAAGGCGACGAUGCGUAGCCGACCUGAGAGGGUGAUCGGCCACACUGGGACUGAGACACGGCCCAGACUCCUACGGGAGGCAGCAGUAGGGAAUCUUCCGCAAUGGACGAAAGUCUGACGGAGCAACGCCGCGUGAGUGAUGAAGGUUUUCGGAUCGUAAAGCUCUGUUGUUAGGGAAGAACAAGUGCGAGAGUAACUGCUCGCACCUUGACGGUACCUAACCAGAAAGCCACGGCUAACUACGUGCCAGCAGCCGCGGUAAUACGUAGGUGGCAAGCGUUGUCCGGAAUUAUUGGGCGUAAAGGGCUCGCAGGCGGUUUCUUAAGUCUGAUGUGAAAGCCCCCGGCUCAACCGGGGAGGGUCAUUGGAAACUGGGAAACUUGAGUGCAGAAGAGGAGAGUGGAAUUCCACGUGUAGCGGUGAAAUGCGUAGAGAUGUGGAGGAACACCAGUGGCGAAGGCGACUCUCUGGUCUGUAACUGACGCUGAGGAGCGAAAGCGUGGGGAGCGAACAGGAUUAGAUACCCUGGUAGUCCACGCCGUAAACGAUGAGUGCUAAGUGUUAGGGGGUUUCCGCCCCUUAGUGCUGCAGCUAACGCAUAAGCACUCC